AAGGAAGGAAGGAAGGAAGGAAGGAAGGAAGGAAGGAAGGAAGGAAGGAAGGAAGGAAGGAAGAUAAUGCUAAUCCUAUCUUUGCUUCUUCCUUCCUUCCUUCCUUCCUUCCUUCCUUCCUUCCUUCCUUC
This 131-nucleotide microRNA precursor is filed under the name Marmota monax (woodchuck). The record is from RNAcentral. Lineage: Eukaryota; Metazoa; Chordata; Mammalia; Rodentia; Sciuridae.